Molecule: ribosomal RNA, 436 nt
Filed under: uncultured cyanobacterium
Lineage: Bacteria; Bacillati; Cyanobacteriota
Description: partial 16S ribosomal RNA
Rfam family: Bacterial small subunit ribosomal RNA
Source: RNAcentral
CANUAGUGAUNGGGNAUUUUNCNCNANGGGNGNAAGCCUGANGGAGCAAUACCGCGUGAGGGAGGAAGGCUUNUGGGUUUGNAACCUUUUUUUCUCAGGGAAUAAGAACUGAAGGUACCUGAGGAAUCAGCAUCGGCUAACUCCGUGCCCAGCAGCCGCGGUAAUACGGAGGAUGCAAGCGUUAUCCGGAAUGAUUGGGCGUAAAGCGUCCGCAGGUGGUUUAUCAAGUCUGCUGUCAAAGAGUUUGGCUCAACCAAAUAAAGGCAGUGGAAACUGACAGACUGGAGUGCGGUAAGGGCAGAGGGAAUUCCUGGUGUAGCGGUGAAAUGCGUAGAGAUCAGGAAGAACACCGGUGGCGAAAGCGCUCUGCUGGGCCGUAACUGACACUGAGGGACGAAAGCUAGGGGAGCGAAUGGGAUUAGANACCCCAGUAGUC